UACGUAGGGGGCAAGCGUUGUCCGGAAUCAUUGGGCGUAAAGAGCGUGUAGGCGGCUCGGUAAGUCCGCUGUGAAAGUCCAGGGCUCAACCCUGGAAUGCCGGUGGAAACUGUCGAGCUCGAGUCCGGAAGAGGCGAGUGGAAUUCCUGGUGUAGCGGUGAAAUGCGCAGAUAUCAGGAGGAACACCAAUGGCGAAGGCAGCUCGCUGGGACGGUACUGACGCUGGAGACGCGAAAGCGUGGGGAGCAAACAGG
Molecule: ribosomal RNA, 254 nt
Filed under: uncultured bacterium
Lineage: Bacteria
Description: partial 16S ribosomal RNA
Rfam family: Bacterial small subunit ribosomal RNA
Source: RNAcentral